CUGUAAGGGAGUUUCAUGGGUGAGCCAACAAAAACCUGUUCCCCUGUUAAAUAAAUUAAAACUGAGCUAAUGAGUGACAGGAAGCCACAGAGUGAAUGGGGAAGUGUUAGGUUCCCAUGUUACAUUUACAUGCCUUGUUCACCUAGAGUGAUGGGAACCGAUAAGAUCAGAGGGAAUGCGGGUAUGCUGACUUUCGCCCCUGGCUGAAACCUGACAAGGCUCUGAGGGUAGAGUCUAAAGGGCUCUACACAGGCUAAGCAAAGGGAGCCGACGGAGUCCCUUUGCGUUGCAUUCCAAAAAUUCAGCUGCACAAAUGUAUGUACAAAUACGCCGAGAGCGAUGCAAACAAACCUCCAUUGCUCCAUUUGCUGUGUAAAUGUUAAAACUGUGUAAAUUAAGGGACGAUGGCACUUGGGAAUGAAGUGCAGCUCCUCCAUUUUCUCAUGUGAGCAAGGCCACGAAAGUGAGCUGCAAGUGAUAUAAAAGUGAUAUAAAAAAGUGCACCGUGCCUCCCCACUCACUGCCUUUUCAGACGGAGAGGGAGAUAAAUGGCUCACGUUAAACCUAAGAGAGAGAGUGUGUAAGGCAGGGAGGCGUAGGCUUUGCGCGCUAUCUUCCGCCGCUGCCAGUGCUGCGUCCUAGGAGAGCGGACAUGCUGAGUCUAAAGAGGGCUACACAGUCUUAGCAAACGGAGCCGACGGAGGUCCGUUUCCAUCGCGUUCCAAAAAUUCAGCCACACCACACACGUACGUAGAAAUAUGUAAAGAGCGACGCAAACCGACUUCCAUCUGCUCCGUUUGUGUACAGUGUAGCACCUGUGCAGCUCACUUUCAUGGCCUUGCUCACAUGGAAAAACGGAGGAGCUGCACUUUAUCCCCAAGUGCCAUCAUCCCAAAGCCAGUUUGUUGUUCCCUCCAGUGUUGCCAACUCCUCAGUAAGGAAAGUAGCUAUUGGCUGUCCUAAAAGUCCCUAGAAGUUGUUAAUUAAAUGAGCCAUCGCCGAAUUUGCAUAAUUGGCCAUGUGCAUGUAAUUGUGAUGGAUGCAGUAGGAGAGAGGAAUAACAUCAUGGGAGAGACAAAAAACCCUCCUCCACACACACAAAGGGUGUGCUGGCUCACAGAAAGAGUGGGUCAUCAUCAUUUUGGUCAAGGCUCUCUAUGGCAGGUUCAGCAACUGAAGGAGCUGACUUACAUGAGUAAGCAGCUGAUGUGCCAAAAAGCUGAAAAACAUUAUCAGGCAGCUUGUGCUCAUAGCAAGCCUCACCAGACACCUUCAGUCCAUAUCGAAUGUACAGGAUGGAGUUAAGAGUCUGCAAGGAAAUGUGUUUUCUAUAUAGCUUUUUACCACACUCAUCUGGCUGAAUACUCUCUCGACUUCAGCAUUCGAGUGUGGCAAGGACAACACAGACACAGCAUCCAUGGCAAGUUCUUGAAACAGGUUGAUAUCAGCUGCAUCCCUGAACACUCCAAAAGCCCAGUGUGUUUUUUGUCUCAUUCCAUUUACUAAGAUGGAUGGCACGUCAUUGCUGGACAAUCUUGUCUAUCUCUGCAGGGAAGUAGCCAAGGAGCUUGGCUAUUUUUCUUUUUCUCCAGGGCUCUUAUUGUGCUUCAGAGUUUCCUCCACAUUUAAAACUGACAUGUACUGCAAUGCUUCGAUGUUGUCCGGCAGUCUCACCCUCAACUCAUUACUGAGGGAGAUGGUGAAGGCUACACACUGCUUUCGGACAUUGUUUUCAUCCUCAGGCACAAGGUGGAGCUUAGCUGCCUUUGACUCAAGAAGGUAUCCAAGGUACGGUUUGGGACUGAUGUAUCCAUCUAUUGGCCCUUUGAUUACAUCAACAUUUGCCAGUGGAUUCAGCAUCCUGCUGCUCACAGACUUGAUCAGGCUAACCAAGCUGUCAAGUAGCUUAAGAGGAUCUACUUGCUCUCCCUCAAAAGCCUUGAUGGCCAACUGUACCUCACCCAGCACUGACUUUAAAAAAUCAGAUACAAUAUGUUUUGAGGAUCACUGUACAUGGAGUAUAAAACCACAGCCAUGUAGCAGUGUUCACUGGACUUGGUGACUGCGAAAUGCAGCCUAAGCUCCUCCCACUGGUCCAAAAUGCGUGAAACCGCAGGUUCAAUGGAGAGCCAACGUGUGGCACACACCUUGGUUACCUGUAAAGGUUUCUCCACACAGUUUAUGGUCUCAUAUAUGGCCUUUUGUAGGCCUCCCUGCGCUUUGGAGACACUGAACCAGUUAUAAGUCUCUCGUACCAAGUACUCCACACUACGGGGAUGGUGUCAUUGGAAGCAUGACUUACAGCAAGCUGCAGAGUGGCACACACAGCGAAUAAGAACCAGAUAUUUGAGACCAUACUCCUCCUCCAGCACUUUAUGGACCCCAUUGUUAAUCCCCGUCAAAACUGAGGCAUUGUCAGUCCCUAUCCCAAGGAGUUUCUCUUUUUUAUUAAGACAACACUUCGAGGAAAGCCACAACAGCACAGGCUAUAGAUUUGGUAUCUGUUCCACAUGCCAGCAUGGAACAGUGUUCAGCGAUAGCUAAUGCCAUGGUGGCCUCAGCCUUUUUUGCAGAGCCAAUUUUUUUAAACCAUAAAUGCAGCUUGUUUUGGGUGGAACUGUUAUAAGACUUUGCCUUUUGAGUAUGUUUUUGAGUUUUCAUGUGUUUUUUUACAUCACUAAGUUUGGUGUAGAAAUCAGCCUUACAAUACAGGCACUAUGCCCAAGUAUCAUCUCCAAUAAAUGGCUUCAACCA
Molecule: long non-coding RNA, 2754 nt
Organism: Oncorhynchus keta (chum salmon)
Lineage: Eukaryota; Metazoa; Chordata; Actinopteri; Salmoniformes; Salmonidae
Exons: 2
Source: RefSeq, a predicted model, not a curated record